GCGGGAAAAGCUCAAAUUUAAAAUCUGGUGGUCUUUGGCCAUCCGAGUUGUAAUUUAGAGAAGCGUCUUCCGCGCUGGACCGUGCACAAGUCUCCUGGAAUGGAGCGUCAUAGAGGGUGAGAAUCCCGUCUUUGGCAUGGAAUCCCAGGGCUUCUGUGAUGCGCUCUCGACGAGUCGAGUUGUUUGGGAAUGCAGCUCAAAAUGGGUGGUGAACUCCAUCUAAAGCUAAAUAUUGGCGAGAGACCGAUAGCGAACAAGUACCGUGAGGGAAAGAUGAAAAGCACUUUGGAAAGAGAGUGAAACAGUACGUGAAAUUGUUGAAAGGGAAACGCUUGAAGUCAGUCGCGUCGACCGAGACUCAGCCUUGCCUCGGCUUGGUGUACUUCUCGGCUGACGGGUCAGCAUCGAUUUCGAUCCUCGGAUAAUGGCAAGGGAAAGGUAGCACCUUUUUAGGUGUGUUAUAGUCCUCUGUCGCAUGUGAGGGUCGGGAUCGAGGAACUCAGCACGCACCUCAGGGUGUCGGGGCCUUGGCCCACGUUUACGUGCUUAGGAUGCUGGCGUAAUGGCUUUAAACGACCCGUCUUGAAACACGGACCAAGGAGUCUAACAUACCCGCGAGUGUUCGGGUGGAAAACCCGUGCGCGUAAUGAAAGUAAAAGUUGGGACCUCUGUCGCGGAGGGCACCGACGCCCGGACCAGACCUUCUGUGACGGCUCUGCGGUAGAGCGUGUAUGUUGGGACCCGAAAGAUGGUGAACUAUGCCUGAAUAGGGUGAAGCCAGAGGAAACUCUGGUGGAGGCUCGUAGCGAUUCUGACGUGCAAAUCGAUCGUCAAAUUUGGGUA
RNAcentral lists this ribosomal RNA (843 nucleotides) under Russula aff. hygrophytica. RNAcentral's name for it is "partial large subunit ribosomal RNA". It matches the Rfam family "Eukaryotic large subunit ribosomal RNA", at positions 98 to 917 of the family's 3401-position model. Lineage: Eukaryota; Fungi; Basidiomycota; Agaricomycetes; Russulales; Russulaceae. The record is from RNAcentral.